GACGAACGCUGGCGGCGUGCUUAACACAUGCAAGUCGAACGGAAAGGCCCUGCUUUUGUGGGGUGCUCGAGUGGCGAACGGGUGAGUAACACGUGAGUAACCUGCCCUUGACUUUGGGAUAACUUCAGGAAACUGGGGCUAAUACCGGAUAGGAGCUCCUGCUGCAUGGUGGGGGUUGGAAAGUUUCGGCGGUUGGGGAUGGACUCGCGGCUUAUCAGCUUGUUGGUGGGGUAGUGGCUUACCAAGGCUUUGACGGGUAGCCGGCCUGAGAGGGUGACCGGCCAAAUUGGGACUGAGAUACGGCCCAGACUCCUACGGGAGGCAGCAGUGGGGAAUAUUGCACAAUGGGCGGAAGCCUGAUGCAGCAACGCCGCGUGCGGGAGGACGGCCUUCGGGUUGUAACCCGCUUUCGCCUGUGACGAAGCGUGAGUGACGGUAAUGGGUAAAGAAGCACCGGCUAACUA
This 464-nucleotide ribosomal RNA is filed under the name uncultured bacterium. RNAcentral's name for it is "partial 16S ribosomal RNA". It matches the Rfam family "Bacterial small subunit ribosomal RNA", at positions 28 to 503 of the family's 1533-position model. The record is from RNAcentral.